GAUCUGGCUCAGGAUGAACGCUGGCGGCGUGCUUAACACAUGCAAGUCGAGCGAAGCACUUUGCUUUGAUUUCUUCGGGAUGAAGAGCUUAGUGACUGAGCGGGCGACGGGUGAGUACGCGUGGGUAACCUGCCUCAUACAGGGGGAUAACAGUUAGAAAUGACUGCUAAUACCGCAUAAGGCCACAGCACCGCAUGGUGCAGGGGUAAAAACUCCGGUGGUAUGAGAUGGACCCG
RNAcentral lists this ribosomal RNA (236 nucleotides) under uncultured bacterium. RNAcentral's name for it is "partial 16S ribosomal RNA". It matches the Rfam family "Bacterial small subunit ribosomal RNA", at positions 15 to 233 of the family's 1533-position model. The record is from RNAcentral.